Molecule: ribosomal RNA, 463 nt
Filed under: Salmonella enterica subsp. enterica serovar Agona
Lineage: Bacteria; Pseudomonadati; Pseudomonadota; Gammaproteobacteria; Enterobacterales; Enterobacteriaceae
Description: bacterial SSU rRNA
Rfam family: Bacterial small subunit ribosomal RNA
Source: RNAcentral
UCGUCAGCUCGUGUUGUGAAAUGUUGGGUUAAGUCCCGCAACGAGCGCAACCCUUAUCCUUUGUUGCCAGCGAUUCGGUCGGGAACUCAAAGGAGACUGCCAGUGAUAAACUGGAGGAAGGUGGGGAUGACGUCAAGUCAUCAUGGCCCUUACGACCAGGGCUACACACGUGCUACAAUGGCGCAUACAAAGAGAAGCGACCUCGCGAGAGCAAGCGGACCUCAUAAAGUGCGUCGUAGUCCGGAUUGGAGUCUGCAACUCGACUCCAUGAAGUCGGAAUCGCUAGUAAUCGUGGAUCAGAAUGCCACGGUGAAUACGUUCCCGGGCCUUGUACACACCGCCCGUCACACCAUGGGAGUGGGUUGCAAAAGAAGUAGGUAGCUUAACCUUCGGGAGGGCGCUUACCACUUUGUGAUUCAUGACUGGGGUGAAGUCGUAACAAGGUAACCGUAGGGGAACCUGC